Molecule: non-coding RNA, 75 nt
Organism: Paramuricea clavata
Lineage: Eukaryota; Metazoa; Cnidaria; Anthozoa; Malacalcyonacea; Plexauridae
Source: the annotation of a GenBank genome assembly
CUGUUUGUAGCUCAGUUGGUUAGAGCGCUGCACCGGAAUCGCAUAUAUGGCCGCAGGUUCGAUUCCUGCCACAGG